GUAGGUGAACCUGCGGAAGGAUCAUUAAUGAAUAUUAGAGUGGCCUCAACAUCACUUCGACAUAUAUCCGCAUACUCAGCUGUAUUGUCACCGGGCAAAAGCACAAGAAUCUUGUGAAACGCCUUCCAAUCGGUUUUUGGAUGUGAAACGGUGACCUUACUGUCUGCUCGUGUGCGGAGGUUGUGUUGUCUUGAUGUCGGCGCUCGACCCUCAUUUCCAACUCUGUGCAUCUUAUUAUGUCCGUGCCGCAGUUAACUCUGCCACGGACUCACCUUACAAACACUAGUCAAAGAAUGUAUAUAAAUUUAAAACAAAUAAAACUUUCAACAACGGAUCUCUUGGCUCUC
RNAcentral lists this unclassified non-coding RNA (347 nucleotides) under rhizosphere metagenome. RNAcentral's name for it is "partial ribosomal RNA internal transcribed spacer region". The record is from RNAcentral.